This 332-nucleotide ribosomal RNA is filed under the name uncultured Methanosaeta sp. Its description in RNAcentral is "bacterial SSU rRNA". It matches the Rfam family "Archaeal small subunit ribosomal RNA", at positions 1006 to 1338 of the family's 1478-position model. Lineage: Archaea; Methanobacteriati; Methanobacteriota; Methanomicrobia; Methanotrichales; Methanotrichaceae. The record is from RNAcentral.
AGUUCGUACUGUGAAGCAUCCUGUUAAGUCAGGCAACGAGCGAGACCCACGCCCACAGUUGCCAGCGUACUCUCUGGAGUGGACGGGUACACUGGUGGGACCGCCGCUGCUAAAGCGGAGGAAGGAAUGGGCAACGGUAGGUCAGUAUGCCCCGAAUAUCCCGGGCUACACGCGAGCUACAAUGGUUGGUACAAUGGGUAUCCUACCCGAAGGGACGGGAAUCUCCUAAAACCAAUCUUAGUUCGGAUUGAGGGCUGCAACUCGCCCUCAUGAAGCUGGAAUCCGUAGUAAUCGCGUUUCAACAGAACGCGGUGAAUACGUCCCUGCUCCUU